This 254-nucleotide ribosomal RNA is filed under the name uncultured bacterium. RNAcentral's name for it is "partial 16S ribosomal RNA". It matches the Rfam family "Bacterial small subunit ribosomal RNA", at positions 524 to 776 of the family's 1533-position model. The record is from RNAcentral.
UACGGGGGGGGGCAAGCGUUGUUCGGAAUUACUGGGCGUAAAGGGCUCGUAGGCGGCCAACUAAGUCAGACGUGAAAUCCCCAGGCUCAACCUGGGAACUGCGUCUGAUACUGGAUGGCUUGAAUCCGGGAGAGGGAUGCAGAAUUCCAGGUGUAGCGGUGAAAUGCGUAGAUAUCUGGAGGAAUACCGGUGGCGAAGGCGGCAUCCUGGACCGGCAUUGACGCUGAUGAGCGAAAGCCAGGGGAGCAAACGGG